This 967-nucleotide ribosomal RNA is filed under the name uncultured eukaryote. Its description in RNAcentral is "SSU rRNA". It matches the Rfam family "Eukaryotic small subunit ribosomal RNA", at positions 126 to 1113 of the family's 1831-position model. The record is from RNAcentral.
GAAUCGAAUUUACAUGGAUAACCGUGGUAAUUCUAGAGCUAAUACAUGCUGGUGUGCCCGACUUUUGCGGAAGGGCGGUAUUUAUUAGAUAACAAGCCAAUAUUCCUCUGGUCUAUUGUGGUGACUCAUAAUAACUGAUCGAAUCGCAAGGCCUGUGGCCGCGAUAAGUCAUUCAAGUUUCUGCCCCAUCAGCUUUCGAUGGUAGUGUAUUGGACUACCAUGGCGUUUACGGGUAACGGAGGAUUAGGGUUCGAUUCCGGAGAGGGAGCCUGAGAAACGGCUACCACAUCUAAGGAAGGCAGCAGGCGCGUAAAUUACCCAAUCCUGACUCAGGGAGGUAGUGACAAGAAUUAACGGACCGAGGCCCUCGGGCUUCGGGAUUGCAAUGAGCCGAAUUUACACCCCUUAGCGAGGAUCGAUUGGAGGGCAAGUCUGGUGCCAGCAGCCGCGGUAAUUCCAGCUCCAAUAGCGUAUAUUAAAGUUGUUGCAGUUAAAAAGCUCGUAGUUGGAUUUCUGGGAGGGUGCCAAUGUCCGCCGACGUGCGUGCGCAGCGGCGCCCUUCCAUCCUUCUGUUAACGCCUCUUGGCAUUCAUUUGCUGGUGGCGGGCUCAGAUAUUUUACCUUGAGAAAAUUAGAGUGUUUCAGGCAGGCUAGGCCGGAAUACAUUAGCAUGGAAUAAUGGAAUAGGACUACGGUCUCUUUGUUGGUUUGAGGGACUGCAGUAAUGAUUAAUAGGGAUAGUUGGGGGCAUUAGUAUUUAAUUGUCAGAGGUGGAAUUCUCGGAUUUGUUAAAGACUAACUUAUGCGAAAGCAUUUGCCAAGGAUGUUUUCAUUAAUCAAGAACGAAAGUUAGGGGAUCAAAGACGAUCAGAUACCGUCCUAGUCUUAACCAUAAACUAUGCCGACUCGGGAUCGGGGGCGCGAACUAUCCGCUUCGGCACCGUAUGAGAAAUCAAGUCUUUGGGUU